RNAcentral lists this small RNA (29 nucleotides) under Bombyx mori (domestic silkworm). RNAcentral describes it as "piRNA piR-bmo-1894887". Lineage: Eukaryota; Metazoa; Arthropoda; Insecta; Lepidoptera; Bombycidae. The record is from RNAcentral.
UGAAAUGCCUUUAUCCCAUAACAUCGGGC